RNAcentral lists this ribosomal RNA (484 nucleotides) under uncultured bacterium. RNAcentral's name for it is "partial 16S ribosomal RNA". It matches the Rfam family "Bacterial small subunit ribosomal RNA", at positions 30 to 507 of the family's 1533-position model. The record is from RNAcentral.
AUUGAACGCUGGCGGCAGGCCUAACACAUGCAAGUCGAGCGGAUGAAGGGAGCUUGCUCCUGGAUUCAGCGGCGGACGGGUGAGUAAUGCCUAGGAAUCUGCCUGGUAGUGGGGGAUAACGUCCGGAAACGGGCGCUAAUACCGCAUACGUCCUGAGGGAGAAAGUGGGGGAUCUUCGGACCUCACGCUAUCAGAUGAGCCUAGGUCGGAUUAGCUAGUUGGUGGGGUAAAGGCCUACCAAGGCGACGAUCCGUAACUGGUCUGAGAGGAUGAUCAGUCACACUGGAACUGAGACACGGUCCAGACUCCUACGGGAGGCAGCAGUGGGGAAUAUUGGACAAUGGGCGAAAGCCUGAUCCAGCCAUGCCGCGUGUGUGAAGAAGGUCUUCGGAUUGUAAAGCACUUUAAGUGGGGAGGAAGGGCAGUAAGUUAAUACCUUGCUGUUUUGACGUUACCAAAAGAAUAAGCACCGGCUAACUUCGUG